GGCUUCUUAGCUCAGUUGGUAGAGCACUGCACUGGUAUUGGAGAGGUCAUGGGUUCAAAUCCCAUACAGGCCU
Molecule: transfer RNA, 73 nt
Filed under: Stylophora pistillata
Lineage: Eukaryota; Metazoa; Cnidaria; Anthozoa; Scleractinia; Pocilloporidae
Description: tRNA-Thr
Rfam family: tRNA
About the family: Transfer RNA (tRNA) molecules are approximately 80 nucleotides in length. Their secondary structure includes four short double-helical elements and three loops (D, anti-codon, and T loops).
Source: Rfam by way of RNAcentral